ACGAAGGCUUCGGCCUUAGUGGCGCACGGGUGCGUAACGCGUGGGAAUCUGCCCUCAGGUUCGGAAUAACAGCGAGAAAUUGCUGCUAAUACCGGAUGAUAUCGCGAGAUCAAAGAUUUAUCGCCUGAGGAUGAGCCCGCGUAGGAUUAGCUAGUUGGUGUGGUAAAGGCGCACCAAGGCGACGAUCCUUAGCUGGUCUGAGAGGAUGAUCAGCCACACUGGGACUGAGACACGGCCCAGACUCCUACGGGAGGCAGCAGUGGGGAAUAUUGGACAAUGGGCGAAAGCCUGAUCCAGCAAUGCCGCGUGAGUGAUGAAGGCCUUAGGGUUGUAAAGCUCUUUUACCCGGGAUGAUAAUGACAGUACCGGGAGAAUAAGCUCCGGCUAACUCCGUGCCAGCAG
Molecule: ribosomal RNA, 402 nt
Filed under: uncultured Sphingomonas sp.
Lineage: Bacteria; Pseudomonadati; Pseudomonadota; Alphaproteobacteria; Sphingomonadales; Sphingomonadaceae
Description: bacterial SSU rRNA
Rfam family: Bacterial small subunit ribosomal RNA
Source: RNAcentral